This 234-nucleotide long non-coding RNA is filed under the name Nicotiana benthamiana. Its description in RNAcentral is "long non-coding RNA (NBEN_LNC000974)". The record is from RNAcentral. Lineage: Eukaryota; Viridiplantae; Streptophyta; Magnoliopsida; Solanales; Solanaceae.
UAACACUGAAAAUUGUUGUUUAAUAUCACAAAGCAUUAAAACUAUGCUUAGUCCUCAUUUGUUCACUAUUAAUGAAGGUCUAAAUCUUAAACAUUCAUAUAUCAGACAUUAAGAGUGUUUAUUUUUUAGGUCUGAAUUAUAAUCAUUAGAUCUCAAUCAUUAAGUGGUAAUAACAACUACUUCCCAGUAUAGUCGUGAGGUAUGGGGAGGGUAUUAUAUAGGCAAGUCUUACCC